AUCCAGCUGAUGAGUCCCAAAUAGGACGAAACGCGCAUUCUGGAU
Molecule: non-coding RNA, 45 nt
Filed under: Schistosoma mansoni
Lineage: Eukaryota; Metazoa; Platyhelminthes; Trematoda; Strigeidida; Schistosomatidae
Source: RNAcentral